Molecule: transfer RNA, 85 nt
Filed under: Felis catus (domestic cat)
Lineage: Eukaryota; Metazoa; Chordata; Mammalia; Carnivora; Felidae
Also listed under: 1 other name
Rfam family: tRNA
About the family: Transfer RNA (tRNA) molecules are approximately 80 nucleotides in length.
Source: Rfam by way of RNAcentral
GCCUGGGCGGCUCAGUCGGUUAAGCACCAGACUUCAACUCAGGUCAUGGUCUCACGGUUCGUGGGUUCGAGCCCUACAUCAGGCU